RNAcentral lists this ribosomal RNA (554 nucleotides) under uncultured bacterium. RNAcentral describes it as "bacterial SSU rRNA". It matches the Rfam family "Bacterial small subunit ribosomal RNA", at positions 359 to 917 of the family's 1533-position model. The record is from RNAcentral.
GAUUGGUNAUGGACGGAAGUCUGAACCAGCCAUGCCGCGUGAAGGAUGACUGCCCUCUGGGUUGUAAACUUCUUUUAUCUGGGACGAAAAAAGGGCUUUUUAGCUCACUUGACGGUACCAGAGGAAUAAGCACCGGCUAACUCCGUGCCAGCAGCCGCGGUAAUACGGAGGGUGCAAGCGUUAUCCGGAUUUACUGGGUUUAAAGGGUGCGUAGGUGGGCGAGAAAGUCAGUGGUGAAAUCUCCGGGCUUAACCCGGAAACUGCCAUUGAUACUAUUUGUCUUGAAUACUUUGGAGGUAAGCGGAAUAUGUCAUGUAGCGGUGAAAUGCUUAGAUAUGACAUAGAACACCAAUUGCGCAGGCAGCUUACUACACAGUAAUUGACACUGAGGCACGAAAGCGUGGGGAUCAAGCAGGAUUAGAUACCCUGGUAGUCCACGCCCUAAACGAUGGAUACUCGACAUUAGCGAUAUACAGUUAGUGUCUGAGCGAAAGCAUUAAGUAUCCCACCUGGGAAGUACGAUCGCAAGAUUGAAACUCAAAGAAAUUGACGGA